RNAcentral lists this ribosomal RNA (1501 nucleotides) under uncultured bacterium. RNAcentral describes it as "bacterial SSU rRNA". It matches the Rfam family "Bacterial small subunit ribosomal RNA". The record is from RNAcentral.
AGAGUUUGAUCCUGGCUCAGAUUGAACGCUGGCGGUAUGCUUAACACAUGCAAGUCGAACGGAAACGAAACUAGCUUGCUAGUAGGCGUCGAGUGGCGGACGGGUGAGUAACGCGUAGGAAUCUGCCUGAUAGUGGGGGAUAGCCCGAAGAAAUUCGGAUUAAUACCGCAUAAUCUAUUCGUAGUAAAGUGGGGGACUUUCGAGCCUCACGCUAUCAGAUGAGCCUGCGUAAGAUUAGCUUGUUGGUAGGGUAAAAGCCUACCAAGGCAACGAUCUUUAGCUGGUCUGAGAGGAUGAUCAGCCACAUCGGGACUGAGACACGGCCCGAACUCCUACGGGAGGCAGCAGUGGGGAAUAUUGGACAAUGGGGGCAACCCUGAUCCAGCAAUACCGCGUGUGUGAAGAAGGCCUGAGGGUUGUAAAGCACUUUCAAUUGUGAAGAAAAGUUAACGGUUAAUAACCGUUAGCCUUGACGUUAACUUUAGAAGAAGCACCGGCUAACUCCGUGCCAGCAGCCGCGGUAAUACGGAGGGUGCAAGCGUUAAUCGGAAUUACUGGGCGUAAAGCGUGCGUAGGCGGUUUAUUAAGUCAGAUGUGAAAGCCCCGGGCUUAACCUGGGAACUGCAUUUGAAACUGGUCAACUAGAGUAUGGUAGAGGAAAGUGGAAUUUCUGGUGUAGCGGUGAAAUGCGUAGAUAUCAGAAGGAACAUCAAUGGCGAAGGCAGCUUUCUGGACCAAUACUGACGCUGAGGUACGAAAGCGUGGGUAGCAAACAGGAUUAGAUACCCUGGUAGUCCACGCCGUAAACGAUGAUAACUAGCCGUUGGGGGGAUUUACCCUUUAGUGGCGAAGCUAACGCGUUAAGUUAUCCGCCUGGGGAGUACGGCCGCAAGGCUAAAACUCAAAGGAAUUGACGGGGACCCGCACAAGCGGUGGAGCAUGUGGUUUAAUUCGAUGCAACGCGAAGAACCUUACCUGGUCUUGACAUCCUGCGAACUUUCUAGAAAUAGAUUGGUGCCUUCGGGAACGCAGUGACAGGUGCUGCAUGGCUGUCGUCAGCUCGUGUCGUGAGAUGUUGGGUUAAGUCCCGUAACGAGCGCAACCCCUAUCCUUAUUUGCCAGCACGUCAUGGUGGGAACUAUAAGGAGACUGCCGGUGAUAAACCGGAGGAAGGCGGGGACGACGUCAAGUCAUCAUGGCCCUUACGACCAGGGCUACACACGUGCUACAAUGGGAAGGACAAAGAGCCGCGAAGCCGCGAGGUGUAGCUAAUCUCAGAAAUCUUUUCGUAGUCCGGAUUGGAGUCUGCAACUCGACUCCAUGAAGUCGGAAUCGCUAGUAAUCGUAGAUCAGAAUGCUACGGUGAAUACGUUCCCGGGUCUUGUACACACCGCCCGUCAUACCAUGGGAGUGGGUUGCACCAGAAGUGGCUAGUCUAACUUAGUGAGGACGGUCACCACGGUGUGAUUCAUGACUGGGGUAAAGUCGUAACAAGGUAACC